AGUGAACGCUGGCGGUAGGCCUAACACAUGCAAGUCGAACGGCAGCACCGUACGAGCUUGCUCUUACGGGUGGCGAGUGGCGGACGGGUGGGGAAUACAUCGGCAUCUACUUUUUCGUGGGGGAUAACGUAGGGAAACUUACGCUAAUACCGCAUACGACCUACGUGUGAAAGCAGGGGAUCUUCGGACCUUGCGCGAUUGAAUGGGCCGAUGUCGGAUUAGCUAGUUGGCGGGGUAAAGGCCCACCAAGGCGACGAUCCGUAGCUGGUCUGAGAGGAUGAUGAGGGACACUGGAACUGAGACACGGUCCAGGCUCCGACGGGAGGCAGCAGUGGGGUAGAGUGGACAAUGGGGGCAAGCCUGAUCCAGGCAUACCGCGUGGGUGAAGAAGGCCUGCGGGUUGUAAAGCCGUUUUGUUGGGAAAGAAAAGCAGCAGGUUAAUACACCGCUGUUCUGACGGUACCCAAAGAAUAAGCACCGGCUAACUUCGUG
This 492-nucleotide ribosomal RNA is filed under the name uncultured bacterium. RNAcentral describes it as "partial 16S ribosomal RNA". It matches the Rfam family "Bacterial small subunit ribosomal RNA", at positions 29 to 507 of the family's 1533-position model. The record is from RNAcentral.